UAUUACCAUAUUUAGCUGCCUUUACUU
Molecule: non-coding RNA, 27 nt
Filed under: Mus musculus (house mouse)
Lineage: Eukaryota; Metazoa; Chordata; Mammalia; Rodentia; Muridae
Source: RNAcentral